This 307-nucleotide unclassified non-coding RNA is filed under the name Hevea brasiliensis (rubber tree). Lineage: Eukaryota; Viridiplantae; Streptophyta; Magnoliopsida; Malpighiales; Euphorbiaceae. The record is from RNAcentral.
GUCCUAAAAUGGUUUGACUCAGUUGUGUAAUCCUUUUCCUCAAAGCCCUCUCUGGUUUCUAUGGUCAAAUUCUUCAUGAGAUGUUUGAUAUCAUUUGUUGUAGUAAGUGUCAUCUCAAGCCAUCUUUAGCUUCAUCUUUCCCUCCUCUUUUAUUUCCGUUUGAUUUCAAUUGUUCUUUCACUUACACAUACAAAUGGCUGUUUUGUAUAUGGUUGAACCCCAAUGUCGUUGUUACUUUCUUCCUUUUUGUUUUAUUUUUUUUCCAUGACCUCUUUGAGAGAAAAUUACAUCCUCUCUGUCCAGGCAG